Molecule: long non-coding RNA, 351 nt
Organism: Ornithorhynchus anatinus (platypus)
Lineage: Eukaryota; Metazoa; Chordata; Mammalia; Monotremata; Ornithorhynchidae
Exons: 3
Source: RefSeq, a predicted model, not a curated record
AUGAUUCGGGAAGGAGAUCAGGAAAAGAACAGGUGUUGUACCUGAUGACAAGGGUGGAAUAGUCAGUGCUCCAAACCCAGGUUGCUAUCUUUCAGAGAUGUCGCCUGCCUCACUUCUGGGAGCGCCCCAUCCAGCCAGCAUCCAGCCAGGUGGAACUGCAGGCUCCGGCAGCGGCUGAGAUGAGGGAACUCUGAGGCCCAGAGAAGUGAAGUGACUUGCCCGCAGUCACACAGCUGACAAGUGGUGGAGCCUUCCAAGCCUACCAAAGGGAAGAGUCGUCUCAGCAAUCGUCAGAAGUGAAGCAGGGGGAGAUGAGGUAACUGAGGCCCAGAGAAGUUCAGUGACUUGCCC